CAUCUGAACUGGUUUAUCUCCACAUUUAUCACAUAGGCUUUGUGAUGUGCUGCGUGAUACACGAGCUCGUGAGCUCAUUUUGAUCUCAUAUCCUCUGUGUUUGGGUGCAGUAGUCGCGGAGAGACCCGUGAAAGCUGUGGCUUAUAGUGGACGGACGCUUUAGCAAAGAACUGAAACCCACCCACAACAGCAGGAAUGUCUUCUGUAUGGGAUGAUUUGGAUCUUCUCGGGAUCUAAUCCUCC
Molecule: long non-coding RNA, 243 nt
Organism: Sinocyclocheilus grahami
Lineage: Eukaryota; Metazoa; Chordata; Actinopteri; Cypriniformes; Cyprinidae
Exons: 3
Source: RefSeq, a predicted model, not a curated record